RNAcentral lists this ribosomal RNA (402 nucleotides) under uncultured bacterium. RNAcentral's name for it is "bacterial SSU rRNA". It matches the Rfam family "Bacterial small subunit ribosomal RNA", at positions 355 to 774 of the family's 1533-position model. The record is from RNAcentral.
UGGGGAAUCUUGCACAAUGGGGGCAACCCUGAUGCAGCGACGCCGCGUGAGCGAUGAAGCCCUUCGGGGCGUAAAGCUCUUUCGACCGGAACGAUAAUGACGGUACCGGGAGAAGAAGCUGCGGCUAACUACGUGCCAGCAGCCGCGGUAAUACGUAGGCAGCAAGCGUUGUUCGGAGUUACUGGGCGUAAAGAGUGCGUAGGCGGUUUUCUAAGUUCGGUGUGAAAUCUCCCGGCUUAACUGGGAGGGUGCGCCGAAGACUGGGAAGCUGGAGUGUGGGAAAGGCAGGCGGAAUUCCUGGUGUCGCGGUGAAAUGCGUAGAUAUCAGGAGGAACACCGGCGGUGUAGACGGCUUGCUAGACCAUAACUGACGCUGAGGCACGAAAGCGUGGGUAGCAAACA